This is a non-coding RNA of Lolium perenne, 527 nucleotides long. Lineage: Eukaryota; Viridiplantae; Streptophyta; Magnoliopsida; Poales; Poaceae. The record is from RefSeq and is a predicted model, not a curated record.
CGGCUAUCAUCGACUAGCACCACAUCAUCCGCAAAGAGCAUACACCAUGGGAUGUCUCCUUGUAUAUCCCUUGUGACCUCAUCCAUCACCAAAUCAAAAAGGUAAGGGCUCAAAGCUGACCCUUGGUGUAGCCCUAUUCUAAUUGGAAAGUCAUCAGUGUCGCCAUCGCUUGUUAGAACACUUGUCACAACAUUAUCAUACAUAUCCUUGAUGAGGGUAAUGUACUUUAUUGGGACUUUGUGUUUCUCCAAGGCCCACCACAUGACAUUCCGAGGUAUCUUAUCAUAGGCCUUCUCCAAAUCAAUGAACACCAUAUGAAGGUCCUUCUUUUGCUCCCUGUAUCUCUCCAUCAGCUGUCGUACCAAGAAGAUGGCUUCCAUGGUAGACCUCCUAGGCAUGAAACCAAAUUGGUUUUUGGUCACGCUUGUCAACCUUCUUAAGCGGUGCUCAAUGACUCUCUCCCAUAGCUUCAUAGUAUGGCUCAUCAGCUUGAUUCCACGGUAAUUAGUACAACUUUGAACAUCCCC